GAGUUUGAUCCUGGCUCAGAUUGAACGCUGGCGGCAUGCCUUACACAUGCAAGUCGAACGGCGGCACGGGAGCUUGCUCCUGGUGGCGAGUGGCGAACGGGUGAGUAAUGCAUCGGAACGUAUCCUGGAGUGGGGGAUAACGUAGCGAAAGUUACGCUAAUACCGCAUAUUCUGUGAGCAGGAAAGCGGGGGACCUUCGGGCCUCGCGCUCUUGGAGCGGCCGAUGUCGGAUUAGCUAGUUGGUGAGGUAAAGGCUCACCAAGGCGACGAUCCGUAGCAGGUCUGAGAGGAUGAUCUGCCACACUGGAACUGAGACACGGUCCAGACUCCUACUGGAGGCAGCAGUGGGAAUUUUGGACAAUGGGGCAACCCUGAUCCAGCCAUGCCGCGUGAGUGAAGAAGGCC
This 405-nucleotide ribosomal RNA is filed under the name bacterium enrichment culture clone ALO1_GLFRUDD03FM179. Its description in RNAcentral is "bacterial SSU rRNA". It matches the Rfam family "Bacterial small subunit ribosomal RNA", at positions 9 to 416 of the family's 1533-position model. The record is from RNAcentral.